RNAcentral lists this ribosomal RNA (122 nucleotides) under Oryza sativa Indica Group (long-grained rice). The record is from RNAcentral. Lineage: Eukaryota; Viridiplantae; Streptophyta; Magnoliopsida; Poales; Poaceae.
CGGAUGCGAUCAUAUCAGCACUAAAGCACCGGAUCCCAUCAGAACUCCGAAGUUAAGCGUGCUUGGGCGAGAGUAGUACUAGGAUGGGUGACCUCCUGGGAAGUCCUCGUGUUGCAUCCCUC